Non-coding RNA from Podarcis lilfordi (Lilford's wall lizard), 74 nucleotides. NCBI's taxonomy places the organism in Eukaryota, Metazoa, Chordata, Lepidosauria, Squamata, Lacertidae. The record is from the annotation of a GenBank genome assembly.
ACACGAGGUAGCUCAGUCGGUAGAGCAUGUAACUCUUAAUCUCAUUGUUGUGGGUUUGAGUCCCAUGUUGGGCA